Long non-coding RNA from Brienomyrus brachyistius, 1284 nucleotides. RefSeq lists it as uncharacterized. The transcript is spliced from 3 exons. Lineage: Eukaryota; Metazoa; Chordata; Actinopteri; Osteoglossiformes; Mormyridae. The record is from RefSeq and is a predicted model, not a curated record.
GGCAAACAGGGAUUUAUUGGGAUGAUCGGGAGCAGGAAACAUCGGACAUCAACUAACAUCAAUGACAGACAAUGAACUAAGGCAAAACAGGGACUGAAAUAGACAAGACAGAGCAAAACAACAAGGUACAGCUGGGUACGAUCAGGGAAGCACACGUGGAUAAUCAGGGGGGCGUGGCACACAUGAGGAUCGUACGAGCUGGGUGUGACACCCCCUCCCCAAUUCUCUAUUAUUCCUGCUAACAAGUUAUUGAUCUGGUCAGACUUCUUCUUUCGUAGUCCACCACCAUAAACCAUAAGCAUCGGAAUCUUUUUUGCCUUCUAUAACUGGAUCGCCUGCUCCUGCCCUGCCGUUGUCGAGGGUCCCUUUGGCUCCAACCAUGCGGUUGCCUGCUACCCCUGUGGCUUCCACCUCUCGCCCGCUGGGGAUCCCUCGGGCUCCCCGUUUUCCCCCGUCCUCUGCUUUCCUGCCUCCUGUUUUUGUGUCCCCUCUGUCUACUCCUCAUCCCUCCAUUCCUUUGUUUGCUCCUGGUCCUUUUGUUCCUCCUGUUGGUGUUCCCCCGGUGUCUCCGUUCUUGGUUCCCCUGUGCCUGUCUGCAUUCCCGGUGGUUUGUCAGUGGUUGUCCUGCUUCUUGUCCCUGUAUCUGUUCUGUGUGUCUGUUCUGUUCCCGGUUCCUCAUUGAUGUUUUGCUUUUAGGUCUUGUCGGUUCCCGGUCUCAUCCUUUCGCUCCCCUGGGGCGCGCCCGGUGUGCGAGCUUUUGGGGCGGAAGAGGUUGGGUGCUUUGACAGUGGUCUGCCAGAGUCAACUGACUAGAUCAUCUGCGUAUUUCUUCUGGAGAUUGGCCGCUCCCAUAUGAAGAUCUUGUAAGGGGAUGGAUGGAAAAUUGUUCAUCCAUCCAAAAGUUUGAUGAAUGUUUUUGUAGGAGUGAUACCUCCGAUCCAGUUCUGCGAUGAGUCGAUCAGUUACAACAAUAAAAACUGUUGCUUUGAACUUGUCAUGGCUCGAUUGCUCACAGUCCAGUUCCGUUGAUUCGUCUGCUUGUUUUUUCCUAUUCUUGUGCCUCUGCGUGUCCAGUUUGUAAUUUUGGGACACAGUUGAAGACAUGUUAAUUGCUUCAAUCUCAAUUUUUUCAAAAUCAUCCUGGAGGCUGGCCACAUAACCCCUCAAUAAGCUGACCCAAUUAACAGCAUUACAUAAAACCAGUCCCACUGCCUGUAGAGCAGUACUAGUGUCACUAGCUUCAUCUUGAGUCAUAAGAUUUUUGUUGGAUUCUGCACUCAAUUU